Molecule: unclassified non-coding RNA, 308 nt
Filed under: uncultured fungus
Lineage: Eukaryota; Fungi
Description: sequence contains ITS2
Rfam family: 5.8S ribosomal RNA (bases 1-52)
Source: RNAcentral
AACGCACCUUGCGCUCCUUGGUAUUCCGAGGAGCAUGCCUGUUUGAGUGUCAGUAUAUUCUCAACCCCUCCAGCUUUUGUGGGCUGGCUUUGGUGGCUUGGAUGUGGAGGUCUGCAGGUCCCCUGUCAAGGUGGUCUGCUCCUCUGAAAUGCAUUAGCAGAACCGUUUGCAAUUUGUUGACUGGUGUGAUAAUUAUCUAUGCCGGUGAAUUGCUCUCCGCUCGUUCAGCUUCUAACAGUUUCCCUCUGAGGAGACAGUUUGUAUGAACCUUUGACCUCAAAUCAGGUAGGACUACCCGCUGAACUUAA